This 253-nucleotide ribosomal RNA is filed under the name uncultured bacterium. RNAcentral describes it as "partial 16S ribosomal RNA". It matches the Rfam family "Bacterial small subunit ribosomal RNA", at positions 524 to 776 of the family's 1533-position model. The record is from RNAcentral.
UACGUAGGGGGCAAGCGUUGUUCGGAAUUACUGGGCGUAAAGGGCGCGUAGGCGGCCCAGCAAGUCGGGAGUGAAAGCCCGGGGCUCAACCCCGGAACUGCUUUCGAAACUGCUGAGCUAGAGUACAGAAGGGGCAACCGGAAUUCCCAGUGUAGCGGUGAAAUGCGUAGAUAUUGGGAAGAACACCUGAGGCGAAGGCGGGUUGCUGGGCUGAUACUGACGCUGAGGCGCGAAAGCCAGGGGAGCAAACGGG